CACACACACGCGCGCCGCUCUCUCGCGCCGUGUCUAUUGUGAAGCUUUGUGCCGAGGAAGGUCCGCGCUUUCUCCUUCCCUUCCUUCGUCCUUCUCCUCCUCAGCUCCGUCUCAGCGGCCCCCACCCCCAACAAAAAAUCCGGACUUUCGCAGACAACCGUUCGCCAGGGGUGCGGGGUGGGCUCCCUCGCGGGGCGCGCGAUCGAACUUCCAAGCCCAACGGACUCGCUGGGCGCGAGCUUCUUUCUCCCCCCUCCACCCCCCCGACGCAGAAAGGGAAAGGAGCCGACGGGGCGGCGGGGGCUGUGAGAAGAUGUAAAAAAAAAAAAGGGGUGGUGGUGGUUAACGGCGAGACGUGGUCAAGGAGCCGGGAUUCCCUCAGCAAGAAGACGCGAUACGUGUUGGCACCUACAUGCAGUUGUGAACAAGUCUGAAUCAAGCUUUAGGCUGGUUCACACAUCACAUGAAACAGGAAAUGUUUCUAUUGGCUUCAGAUCAGGUUUACAUGGCAUAUUGAAGACUCGACUCUAAAAUAGGCAAGACAUUAAGUGUCUCUAGCUUCAUCAGUGUCGUCAGACUUCUCCUAGCUGUCCAGACAAGAAAUAGGUUUCCAAGGACAGUAAAGUUCUGUUAAGUAUAUUUAUUAUAACAAAUUUAACAAAAUCACUAUGAAACAAUUCAGCGAUUGCUGGAUAUAAAAUACUAACUACAUUUAUAGACCAAUCAUGGUUCAAAGUUAAUCUAUUUGAACAUGAUGUUGAUUUCCACCUGCCUCUUAUUUUGAAAGCAGAAUGAUCUGGAAUCUUCUUUUUUGGAGCAGUUCAUCCUUUAAGUGGAAGAGCAGCUGAUUUUGAAAUCUACUUUAAAUCCUAAAUUGGUUUCCAGAUUUUUUUUAAAUAUCUGCUUCUAACAUUAUUGUUUUUAUAUUGUUCAUUAUACAAUACAUAUUUCCUAGAUUCA
Molecule: non-coding RNA, 960 nt
Organism: Pseudonaja textilis
Lineage: Eukaryota; Metazoa; Chordata; Lepidosauria; Squamata; Elapidae
Source: RefSeq, a predicted model, not a curated record